This 460-nucleotide ribosomal RNA is filed under the name uncultured bacterium. Its description in RNAcentral is "partial 16S ribosomal RNA". It matches the Rfam family "Bacterial small subunit ribosomal RNA", at positions 338 to 795 of the family's 1533-position model. The record is from RNAcentral.
CCUACGGGUGGCAGCAGUGAGGAAUAUUGGUCAAUGGACGAGAGUCUGAACCAGCCAAGUAGCGUGAAGGAUGACUGCCCUAUGGGUUGUAAACUUCUUUUAUAAAGGAAUAAAACGAGGCACGUGUGCCUUUUUGCAUGUACUUUAUGAAUAAGGAUCGGCUAACUCCGUGCCAGCAGCCGCGGUAAUACGGAGGAUCCGAGCGUUAUCCGGAUUUAUUGGGUUUAAAGGGAGCGUAGAUGGGUUGUUAAGUCAGUUGUGAAAUUUUGCGGAUCAACCGUAAAAUUGCAAUUGAUACUGGCAGUCUUGAGUACAGUUGAGGUAGGCGGAAUUCGUGGUGUAGCGGUGAAAUGCUUAGAUAUCACGAAGAACCCCGAUUGCGAAGGCAGCUUACUAAACUGUGACUGACAUUGAUGCUCGAAAGUGUGGGUAUCAAACAGGAUUAGAUACCCUUGUAGUC